Molecule: long non-coding RNA, 3181 nt
Organism: Bactrocera neohumeralis
Lineage: Eukaryota; Metazoa; Arthropoda; Insecta; Diptera; Tephritidae
Exons: 3
Source: RefSeq, a predicted model, not a curated record
GCUUUUCAUCGAGACAAGCUGUAAGCUUUUUUGAACUUGACAUUCGCUUUUAUUUUCAUUUCGUUCUAGUUUCUAAGUGCAAUGUCACAGAUAAAUGCGUCUGCUGCCAGCAGCUCUGUGUGGCAACAUGUAUAACAAAUAGAGCUUUUUCAAAAGCUCUGCGAGAUUACAAGCGUGAAGACGUUUUGCUUAGUGAAUUUUGUAAAAUGUUUCGGAAGAGUUGCUCAAAAGCUUAUUUAAGUUGACGAAUCCUAAAGCUUCCGAAGGCCUAUUUGAUAAUAAAUACCAGAGGUUUCUGUGUGACAGCCUUAUGGAGACGGUUGAGCCAGUUUAAUCAGUGGACUUACUUUUCCAAAACAUAAAGUCAAGCACCACCUUAAACUAAGUCGAAUAGCUUUAGAUUUCAUCAGAAUAUCAUACAAAUAUUUUUGUCAGCGGAAAUCAGCCUUAACAAUCGGUUAUAUGAGGAGUUUCAACCACGUUCUUCAAUGUGUUUCCUUCACUCUCUAUUAAUGAAUCUGAUUUUGGACUCCCAAAAUUAGGAGUUCGGUUCCGAGACGGUUUCUAAUAAGCAAAUAGUAGCUCUUUCAUAUCUUAACCUGGCAAAACGAAUUCUAAUUUUAAGAGAUUAUGCUUGAGACCGUCAACUUAAUAUUAUAUAGGAUUUUUAUAGGCUGAUCAGCAGACAAAUACCACGGAGAGCAAAGCAACGUUAACUAAACUUCCUAAAAUGUUUGGGCCUUGUAGAGUAUCGGAAAUUUUACCAACUGCGAGAUCUUUCAUGAGCAUAUUUAGAACCAUUGUUCAACUGACGAGGAGGGCUUCUCUUCCGAGGCUGUCUUUUUAUUUUCAUUGGGCGCGUUUUUUACGAAGCAGGUCCUAAACCCAGUUCUCUCUGGGUAGGGAUGGUUCGCCUUCUUACGUUAGCUUGCUUUCAAACGUAUGUUCUUUGGCAACACAGAGGAUACUUGAUCUAAGACCAGAAGUAGUGAGCUGUUUGAGGCACAUGUAGAAUAAUCGCUUCUGGCUAUACUCAAGUGAAUGGCAAUCAGAGAAAUUUUAUCACUUGCGUGACCUUCUACACAUGACUCCAUCCUCCUGGUAGUGAACGAAGACAAGACGAAAUAUCUCCUGUCAUCAAACAAACAGUCGUGGCACUCGCCACUUGGCUCCCACCUCACUGUUGACUGUCAUAACUUCGAAAUCGUAGAUAAUUUCGUCUAUCUUGGAACCAGCAUUAACGCCAACAACAACGUUAGCCUCAAAAUCCAACGUAGAAUAACUCUUCCCAACAGGUGCUACUUCCAACUGAGUAAGCAAUUGAGAAGUAAAGUCCUCUCUUGAAAGAACCAAACUCUAUAAGUCCCUAUAUGGUGCAGAGGCAUGGGGCGAUGACAACAGCUAAUGAGUCGAUGUUUCGAGUUUUUAAGGAAAAGAUUCUGCGAAAGAUUUAUGGUCCUUUGGGCAUUGACAACGGCGAAUACCGCAGUCGAUGGAACGAUGAGCUGUAUGAGAUAUACGACGACAUUGACAUAGUUCAGCGAACUAAAAGACAGCGGCUACAUUGGCUAGGUCAUGCCCUCUGAAUGGACGAAAACAUCCAGCUCGGAAAGUAUGCGACGCAGUACCCGCUGGGGGUAGACCUCCACUCCGUUGGAAGGACCAAGUGGAGAAGGACCUGGCUUCGCUUGGACUCAUCAUUAAAGAAGUUCAACUGAAAAAGUCUUAUUCGACUUUUUAGAAAGAAAUGUGUCUCGGAACGAUUCACCAGGAAGCAUUUGGCUACGAAAGAUUUAAGGUCAGAUUUUACUUUUUCAAGACACCGUAAUAUAGAUUUACGAAUGAGUUGAUUUUGUGGAAGAUUUCAAGAAAAUGCAGAACGGCAUUUCAGAAGAUCCGCACCACGAGUUCAUGAAUUUGGGUCCUGAAAGAUUUCAGAAAAAGCGGUGAUUACUCAAUCGGGGUUCAAGAAGGACCAAAUACUCUAUAAUACUCUUUCCGAUGAGUUUAACUAUGCCAGAACUUGACUAAAGAUCUUACUGACCUUGUAAAAAAAUAACAAGAGGUCGGUUUGGUCCCAGCAAACUGAAGGCAAGUUAGAAACUCCAAUAAUUUAAAGACAACGUUACGAGGCUACGUUUGUCUAUACAAAUUUUCAAACAGAGCGACUAUAUACUGACCCCCUCAUAUCUAUUAUACACUUUUAAUAAUCACACAUACACAUAUAUACAUACAUAUAUAGUAUAUUUCUAAAAAUACAUUGUUUGUAAACAAUUUAGCAAUUACUUAAGAAAGCCCAUGAAUAACAGAACGAACAAAAUCUCAACAAAAAUUCGCUUCUCGAAGGCAGAUUGCACUCAGCAGCUGAUAACCCUUGCAACGAUGCAGGCAAAUAAACAAAGUGUUUCACUUGCAUGUACAUACAUACUUAUACUCGUACAUAUAUUUGGAAAAAUAAACAAAUUCAGGCGCAGUGAAAUCAGACUUUACUUCGCGAUGUGGCAGGUCAGCGCUGGGGCGCGAAUGACUGUUGGGCAGACCGACUUGUCCACUGUCGCCAGCGUCAGCAUCAGCGCCGCUAAGCCCAGACAACCAGCAGCCAGGCAGGUAGCCAAUCGGACAAGCAGGCAGGCGAUGAGCUCAUGCUGCGGUCACGUAGAUGUGUGUAUAGAUGGCGCGACGCGCGAUAAGAAACGAUGAUCUAUGGUUGUUGUUGAAUGUCGGUGAGCGCUUGGUGUUGUGACACUCUACAGCGGCGAUGGCACCUGAGGUGGCCAAAUGCAAAACAACGCACACACUCACAAACACACAUGCAGGCAAGGAGCAUAUGAUGCACAAGCGACUUAUGAGUAUUUAUUCGUCUCAGCUGUUAUUGCUGUCAGCGGCCGAACGCAGCGCGAAAAAUUAUUACGAACAGCUACCGACGCUGUCUUCUACCGUUUUGGGUGCAUUUCGAUGGCAAAGCGGGCUGCUGUUUGAGCUGCGGUGCGCUGUUAGUGCGCGGCGGCGGCGUCGAUAAAUCAUAUUUUGUUUAUCGCGAAUUUUGAUUUUGAUGUCUUUGACGACGUUCUGGUUGCCGAUUGCGAAAAUUUUGGACAAUUUAAAGUUGAUUAAAGUAAGCUAGGUUGGGUUGUACAUAUGUAUUUCUAUUUGAAAAACUCUGAAAAAUAUUAAUUAUUUU